GUGGGGAAUCUUGGACAAUGGGGGCAACCCUGAUCCAGCGAUGCCGCGUGAAUGAAGAAGGCCUUUGGGUUGUAAAGUUCUUUCACCUGUGACGAUAAUGACGGUAACAGGAGAAGAAGCCCCGGCAAACUCCGUGCCAGCAGCCGCGGUAAGACGGAGGGGGCUAGCGUUGUUCGGAAUGACUGGGCGUAAAGGGCGCGUAGGCGGUUGAUCAAGUCAGGCGUGAAAGCCUCGGGCUUAACCUGAGAGGUGCGUUUGAGACUGAUCGACUAGAGGACGAGAGAGGAAAGUGGAAUUCCGAGUGUAGAGGUGAAAUUCGUAGAUAUUCGGAGGAACAUCAGAGGCGAAGGCGGCUUUCUGGCUCGUAACUGACGCUGAGGCGCGAAAGCGUGGGGAGCAAACAGG
This 405-nucleotide ribosomal RNA is filed under the name uncultured [Caedibacter] sp. Its description in RNAcentral is "bacterial SSU rRNA". It matches the Rfam family "Bacterial small subunit ribosomal RNA", at positions 354 to 776 of the family's 1533-position model. The record is from RNAcentral. Lineage: Bacteria; Pseudomonadati; Pseudomonadota; Alphaproteobacteria; Holosporales.